Molecule: ribosomal RNA, 253 nt
Filed under: uncultured bacterium
Lineage: Bacteria
Description: partial 16S ribosomal RNA
Rfam family: Bacterial small subunit ribosomal RNA
Source: RNAcentral
UACGUAGGGGGCAAGCGUUGUCCGGAUUUACUGGGUGUAAAGGGCGCGUAGGCUGGUUUGUUAGUCAGAGGUGAAAUCCUGCAGCUCAACUGUAGAAUUGCCUUUGAUACUGCAAGCCUUGAGUGCGGAAGAGAGAGACGGAAUUCCAGGUGUAGUAGUGAAAUACGUAGAUAUCUGGAAGAACACCAGAGGCGAAGGCGGUCUCUUGGUCCGUUACUGACGCUGAUGCGCGAAAGCGUGGGGAGCAAACAGG